CCUACGGGAGGCUGCAGUGAGGAAUAUUGGUCAAUGGGCGCGAGCCUGAACCAGCCAAGUCGCGUGAGGGAGGACGGCCCUACGGGUUGUAAACCUCUUUUGCCGGGGAGCAACGGGCGUCACGUGUGGCGCCACUGAGAGUACCCGGAGAAACAGCAUCGGCUAAUUCCGUGCCAGCAGCCGCGGUAAUACGGAGGAUGCGAGCGUUAUCCGGAUUUUUUGGGUUUAAAGGGUUCGUAGGCGGUCGGAUAAGUUAGGGGUGGAAUGCCGAGGCUCAACUUCGGAAUUGCCUAUGAUACUGUUCGGCUAGAGAGUAGUUGCGGUAGGCGGAAUGUAUGGUGUAGCAGUGAAAUGCGUAGAGAU
RNAcentral lists this ribosomal RNA (363 nucleotides) under uncultured bacterium. Its description in RNAcentral is "partial 16S ribosomal RNA". It matches the Rfam family "Bacterial small subunit ribosomal RNA", at positions 338 to 697 of the family's 1533-position model. The record is from RNAcentral.